Molecule: ribosomal RNA, 81 nt
Filed under: Oikeobacillus pervagus
Lineage: Bacteria; Bacillati; Bacillota; Bacilli; Caryophanales; Bacillaceae
Description: partial 16S ribosomal RNA
Rfam family: Bacterial small subunit ribosomal RNA
Source: RNAcentral
UCUUUGGAGAGUUUGAUCCUGGCUCAGGACGAACGCUGGCGGCGUGCCUAAUACAUGCAAGUCGAGCGAACCAAUUAAGAA